CCUAGGUAGUUACCUUUUCGUCUGAGCUAGGAACAUGAACUGUGUACAGGACGUUAUAGAUUUCCUGAGAUGUUUUGGGUAACCAAAAAUCUGAUGGGUUUGUGUGCAGCAUGAAUAACCCGAUUAAAAAAAUGAAAACUUAAACACAGCCCAAACAGACCCCCCCUCCCUUCAGUGACCCUACGCCGCUGGAUUGAGCCAGGCCUCCUUCAGUCUCCCGCAGCAGCGGCGAGAGUCGCCGGCGGCAGCUAAUGAUGGAGGAGGCCGGGCUUGAGUUCCUGCAACACGCCGUCGACCGUUUCCUCUAAGGGACGAGUUCGCCGACAGCUUGGACCACCCAGAUCUGGUGCCGCUUGAGUUGUUGCAAUCAGGUCGAGCUAUUCAGGGUGGCAGUGUGAAGGAACUGAUGCCUCUGAAUGUGGGCAGUGUGCUGGCGGCAGCGGAGCUGCCGCGGAGAAGUGCGGCGAGCGCCGUCGGCGUGAGACAUCCCCAACUGCUUCAGCACAAUCCACUGACAGGGUUAACCCAGAGGCCCCUAGUUGGACUAAAUGGUUUACUGAACUACUGAAUUUUAAGUUUACAGUGUACUGUCCUACAUUUUUGUGUGGUGAUAAAAACUCUGUUAUCCAUUCAGAUGUUUUUUUCUUCUGCUAAUUCAUUAUAAUGUGCAAAGAAAAUGUAGAACAGAUCCCCUGAUGCAUAUUUGUUUGUGAUUCAUUCACACUGUUAUGUGAACUGAAAACAAGUGUUGGCUGUAAACAAGAUGCAAACAAUCAAGGAUGUUGGCAGUACUGAAUCAGCAAAAAACAUCGUAUAAUAAACCCCCAAAACAGAAAUGUACAUGUUCCGCAUUAAUAAUUGGUGUGGUGAAAAUUCAGGUUACGCCUGGGCAGUGCCCCUCCCGAUAGGACACCAUGCCCCUCUCGCAUGAGUGCGCAGGAGCAGACAAAUCAGAAGUAUGCAAACGGUGGAUGACGAUGUGGGUUGUUGUGAAAAAAAUAACAAAGCGUGACCAAGGGAUCCAGACUGCCCCACUCUGGCCCCCGCUGUUUCUUUCCCCACUGAAAUGCUUGCUGGUCGUGCGGCGGCGGCUUGAAUCUCGGCACCGGAGGGGAUGGAAGAUGCCGGACUUGAGGUCCUGAUUGAUGCCAUCGACCGGUUUCCCCUACAGGAGGAGUUCACUGACAGUUUGGAACACCCAAAUCCAGUGCCGCUUGCCUUGUUGUCGCCUGCCCAGGCGAAUCCGGAGGGGGAAGGAUGAACAGAAUCUCGCCUCCGGAGAGGUGCGGGCAGCAUGUCGGUGCUGGUGCCGCGGGCGGGACGAACCGCGGAGACCGACAGUGGCGAGAGACAUCGCCCACUGCAUCAGCGCGGUACACUGACAGGGUUAACCCAGAAGCCCCUGGGUGGACAAAAAAAGUUAGCUUAAUUAAUUAGGCCUAAUUAAUUCCGUUUGCGUUGCUUAAGCAUGUAUGUUGGCAGCAGCAAACUGUCGUGGACUAUCUGGAGAUAUGGGGUAUCUGAUACCUGGUCAACACUCGUGGCAGCGGGCUAGGUUCUUCGGUUGGAAAUGGUAAUACAGAGGCUGAUUAGUCAGCAAGGAGUGUGUUGGGCGAGAAGUACCCCCCUUCAGUUGGACUCAAUCAUGCUGAACCAUCAGAUGCCGAUGUGCUUCGGUUCAUUGGCAAGAUGAAUGGGUGCAGCGAAAGCAUGGAAAUGAUUCAAGAACUUUCAUCCCCUGCUUGUUGUGGCAUCUGGUCAUGACAUUAAAAGAUGAACUGUCUCCUGGAGGGGAGGUGACAUUAAACAUAAUGAGAUGCAUAGAGCGAAUGCUAAGUGGAAAGGAACGAAGGAUGUACCGUGGUCCUGAACUGUGGUUGGCUUGCGAGAUGGAGACGCAUUUUCGAUCCACAGUUUAUGGAUGUCAUGCAGGAAGAGCUUUGCAAUGGACUGGGACUACAUCACCAUGAUGAUGAACUCUGAAAAGAUGGGCUACAGAGUUGACUGGCUAAAGAAGAGAAGAAGAUUAUGAUGAUACUUGACCCAACGGAGACAGAUCCGGCGGAUGGGAUAAAAAGGAAGCAUGAGGGGCUGGCAAAGCAAUUCCAUGUUUGGUUCUGUACCCUUUUCAACGAUAUAUUCAGUGCUGGGUUGGUUGAGAAGACCGAAUGGAAAUUCGUGUACCCUUUGGGAGGAUAGUGGGGGCGUAUGUCGGGCACUACAUCCUUCAGUUCACUGGUCUGUACCUGAGAUCUACUGUAAGACCAGGAGCAGAUCGAGUACCUUAGGAAGAAGUAUUUAUCCUUUUAUCAAAAAAAAACUGCAGGUCAUCCCUUGGGUGGCAGUGGGGUGCAAGGUGGCCUUCACAUUAGAAAUGGCGUUGAGAAUGCAAAUCCUACAGGGACAAGGCCUUGAGAUCGAGAAAUGUGCAGGCUAAGGCGGCGGCUGGAGUUCAGAAAUGAAGAUUAAGUUGGUUUGGGUGGUACUAGUUCAGGUGCCGGGAAUAUGGAAACAGAUGAGUACAAUGCGUUUGCUGGAACUGGCAACCAAAUUGGAAUUCCUGAUGGGGUUGUGGCGGGCGAACGGGCAAAAUUGGAACAUGAAUAUGCUCGGUUCACUGGGAUUCUUCCAGCUCGAGUGUGAGAGGGGGGUAACGGUACAGCCAUACAGGUGCAGGGGUUCCUCCAAUACCCGAUGAAGAACAGUGUGCACGCGUGCGCACACUUGCUGCUGCGGCGCUAGAUAUGGUUGACCGAGCAAUAAACAAUCCUGAAAUAUUUGAAGUGGUAUUUGAUCACGCCAGAAGUCUGCUGGAGAGGGUUCGCGGCAUAGAUUAAAAUAGCCCGCGAAAUAGCCGCGAUAGCUGCGCUAUAGCUGCCCAGGAGCCUUGCCGCUACGCUAUGGCUGCUGCCGCGAAAUCCUCCGCAACUCCCUGUAAAUGGUUCAGCAAUGAGCAAAACCCUCCGGAAA
Long non-coding RNA from Aegilops tauschii subsp. strangulata, 2970 nucleotides. RefSeq lists it as uncharacterized. Lineage: Eukaryota; Viridiplantae; Streptophyta; Magnoliopsida; Poales; Poaceae. The record is from RefSeq and is a predicted model, not a curated record.